UUUNUUUUUUUUUUUUUUUUCCGCGCCCGGUUCACUCGACGAUCUCACUUGGCGCUUGAGGCGCGCCGGAAAUCGCCUCAAACGCCUUCGGCAUUUGCCCGCGGUGUCGGGCUCGGAACGAGCUUUCCGAAACGUGCUCACGGGCCCCGUGAGUCCAUCGGGAUCGAAAGUUAGGCACGUGAACGGGGAGACGCGCGGAUUGCGUUUACCGAGACAUUCUUCAUUUCGUAUUUUCGUCGCAAGUAAGUAGCGUUGCGUUAACCGCGCGAUGGGNCCUUGAGAGCGGGAAGUUGAACACUCCNGACGUUAUNGAGAGGNGAUAACCUUUCNUUUNNANGUGGCCNAGNAGACAAA
Molecule: unclassified non-coding RNA, 354 nt
Filed under: Melaleuca saligna
Lineage: Eukaryota; Viridiplantae; Streptophyta; Magnoliopsida; Myrtales; Myrtaceae
Source: RNAcentral